CGUAGAUAUAUAGUGGAACAGUAUGGAAAGGCUGACCAUAGACGGUGAUAGUCCGGUACACGAAAUAUAUCUUGACCUAGCUAGAAAGAGUACCACGGGACACGUGAAACCCUGUGGGAAUAUGGGAGGACCAUCUUCCAAGGCUAAAUACUAACCGAUGACCGAUAGUGAACGAGUACCGUGAGGGAAAGGUGAAAAGAACCCCGGGAGGGGAGUGAAAUAGAAACUGAAACCGUUAGCUUACAAGCAG
RNAcentral lists this ribosomal RNA (250 nucleotides) under Desulforhopalus sp. IMCC35007. RNAcentral's name for it is "partial 23S ribosomal RNA". It matches the Rfam family "Bacterial large subunit ribosomal RNA", at positions 320 to 573 of the family's 2925-position model. The record is from RNAcentral. Lineage: Bacteria; Pseudomonadati; Thermodesulfobacteriota; Desulfobulbia; Desulfobulbales; Desulfocapsaceae.